This 409-nucleotide ribosomal RNA is filed under the name bacterium. Its description in RNAcentral is "partial 16S ribosomal RNA". It matches the Rfam family "Bacterial small subunit ribosomal RNA", at positions 355 to 776 of the family's 1533-position model. The record is from RNAcentral.
UGGGGAAUAUUGCACAAUGGGCGAAAGCCUGAUGCAGCGACGCCACGUGAGGGAUGACGGCCUUCGGGUUGUAAACCUCUUUCAGUAGGGACGAAGCGCAAGUGACGGUACCUGCAGAAGAAGCACCGGCUAACUACGUGCCAGCAGCCGCGGUAAUACGUAGGGUGCGAGCGUUGUCCGGAAUUACUGGGCGUAAAGAGCUCGUAGGCGGUUUGUCACGUCGUCUGUGAAAUCCUAGGGCUUAACCCUGGACGUGCAGGCGAUACGGGCUGACUUGAGUACUACAGGGGAGACUGGAAUUUCUGGUGUAGCGGUGGAAUGCACAGAUAUCAGGAAGAACACCGAUGGCGAAGGCAGGUCUCUGGGUAAUAACUGACGCUGAGGAGCGAAAGCAUGGGUAGCGAACAGG